CCUUCAGCCGUGCGCCCAGUCACGAGGUGGGGGGUGGGGACUUGGACAGCUCGGGAAGGGCCCAGAGACACUGCCCACCCGCUGGGCACCCUGGGUCCGUGUUUAAGCCUCUCUGAACCUUGGUGUCCUCUGUAAAACUGGCUUAACGACGGCUGGCAGCCUCCACCCACUGGCUUGCUAGCUCUAAGUGGGAUGCAAGUUCAACUCAGACUCAAUGUCAUUUUGUCAUGAGUGGGGCAGAGUGGCACAGGAGACAACUUGAUCCCCUCGACCUAGAUCCUGCUUCCUUCCUCAAGAGACCUUCUCUGACCCUCUCACCCAGGGGCCCUCUCCCACCCUGGACACCUCCGGUAUUCUGUCUGCCGAAGGAAGACACAUGGGGUGUGGGAAGAAAACUAGGCCCUGAAGUCAGACAGAUGUGGUUUAAAUCAUGGUUUCCUUUCUUCAACCAUCCAAUCAUUAAUUCCACAUCUGCAGCAUGCCGGUCACUGCUCUAUGUCUUAAACAUGUAUUCAUCUUCAAGAUCUUGGCUCUCUCGGAUCCUACGUUCAAGUGAGGGAGAGAGUCAACAACAACCAGAACAAAGCAAAACACACAAGAAAACAGUUUUAAGUUGUGAUGUUGGAAAUGAAGAAAGCAGGCAAGGGGCUGAGAUAGGGAACUCCAGAGGGACCUGCUGUACAUGGGGUUGGUUAAAGAUGGCCUCCUUGAAUGAACAACGUUUAACACUGACAUGUACAAUGAGGAAAGAUGGCUAUAUUAUAGGAAGAACAGAGAAGAAUGUUCCAGGCAAGAAGAACGGCAAGCACAAGACCUCUGAGUGGGCAAGAGCUGGGGCAGGAAAGGGAGGAACUGAAGGAAGAGUGGCGUCUCUGGAGGGUCUCCCAAGCUGGGUGGAGGGUAGAGCUGAGCCUUUUAGGCUAUUUUAAGAGACUCAAGAUGUAUGAUAGAGGGCAAAUCAACAAGACGUAUUAAAGGAUUAGAUAAAGGGAGAAGAGGACCUCUCAAGAAGAGAGGCUCAAGUUGCCUGGGGUGGGGCUGCCAGGAUGGCAAAGGCAGGGUGAGGGGUGGAGAUUCUGCUCUGAAGGAGCUCAUCUGGGGAUGUCUGAGAUGUCUGAGUGGAGGUGUCAGUAGGCAAUAGGAUCUGCAAAUCAGAAAGAGCUUGAAGGAGAAGUCCAGGCUGAGGGGGGUAUAGAUUUGGGAACAUGGCAUUAGAAUGGUAUUUCAUGGAACUGCAUGGAAUCACCUGUGACGUGAAGCAAGAGGACCCAAAAGAGCCUAGGGGAGACCCACCUUCAGGAGUUGGGAAAAGGAGGUUCCAGCCGGUGGGGUGGGAGGAAAGCCAAGAGAGUGUUCUUCAGGAACUGAGAGAGGACAGUGUUUCCAGAAGGAGGAGGGGUCAACUGUGUCAAAGGACUAAGAUGAAGUCCAAGAGCAGGGCUGGACCUGGCCAGGUGGGGUCAUUGUGACAUUGACCGAGCAAGUGGGCCAGCACUGGGGAGCAGAGCCAGGCUACGGUGGGUCCGGGAGUGCAUGGGAGUGACAAGAUGGAGCCUAUGUGAAUCAAUCAAGUUCUUUUGAGAAUCUGGCUCUAAAAGAGUGGAGAGAGAUUGGGAGGUAGCCACUGAGGGGAGGGGCUGGAGGCGGGAAGACUCGAGGAGCACAUCUGGAUGCUGGUUGAUUUGCCUAGAGAGAGGAGAGACUGGUGUGGAAACCACAGAGAGGCAGGAGGGAGGGCAGUCCCCCAGGAGCUGGAGGGGCUGGGUCCAGAGCACAGAUAUGGGGGGGCUUCCUCCAUCCAUGCAGGAGAUGCAGAAGAGGGGUGCAGCCGGGCCAGUCUGUGAGUCUGGUGUGGGAAAGAGGAAAGAGCUGAGCUAAGUAGUGGGACCACGUGGAAGUAGAGGUGAGUGCAGGGUGGAAGAGGAGGUGAGCGGGCAAAGAGAAGAAGUGAAGUGGUCACUUGGGAGUGGGCAGUGGACUACUGGAGAGAACAGUGGCAGGGCCUGGCAGUCUUGGGGGGCAGCGCAUGGGCUGGGAUCAUGGAUUUAGAGCAAGAGCAGCCAGCCCUAUUGUGAGAUUAUCUCCAGGAACAGGGACAGCUCUGGGGCAGGCUUGGAGAAGGCAGAUGGGAGGGUUCAUUCAGGGCUGGGCUUUUGCCAGGGGCUGUGACAAAGGCGAGAAAGACAGUUGCUGAGGAAAUUCACAUCGGAGCAAUUAUGAGGAACCACAGACAGAGUCUGGACAAGAAGGGAAGAAGGGCCCGGAGGGAGGCCUGCGAGGGAGGAGGGGGAGCCACUGCGCUGAAAUUCUCAGUGAAGCCAAGGAACAGGGCGAUGGGAGUGCGGCCACUCACCCAGGGCUGGGGAGAUGGGGGAAGUGUUUGGAAUCCAUAUUUGAGGAUGAGAUGGUCCAGGUGUGGCCGCAGGGAGCGGGUGGGAGAGGCCUCCAGAGAGGCGGGGCAUGGUGCGGCAGGGUCCCUCUGAUCCGAUGUGGGUGUCUCUCACGGUGACGAUGACGUAAGGAGGAAGAGGCAAAGACUCUGAUCAGAGAGAAGCACAGCCGAUGAUGCUGCCUCGGGCAGGCUCUAUGAGUGAGGCCAGGCAGCCCAGGUCCCCAGCAGGCUCUGCCACUUUCUGAUGUGUGACACUGGAGGCUUAUUUCUCCUCUCUGCACUUCGGUAUCUUCACUUGUGAAAAUGGGGACGAUAAUUUGUACCUGCCUCUUAAAAUUGCUUUGAAAACUAAAGGAGAUAAUUCAGGCAAAACACCUAAAACAGUGCCAGUAAGUGUCAGAUGUUACCCCUUGUAGUAAAUUGCAUUGUGUCCCCCAAAAGACAGGUCCACAUCCAGCACCCUGAACCUGUAAAUGGGACCUUACUUGGGUUAAGGAUCCCAAGGUGAGAACAUCUUGGAUUAUCCGAGUGGGCUUAAAUUCAGUAACAAGUGUUCUUCCAGGGACCAGAAGAGAAGACAUACAGGGGGAGGCCAUGUGAAGCUGAAGGCAGAGACUGGAGUUGUACAGCCACAAGCCAAGGAGCUCCUGGAGCUGCCAGAGCUGGAAGAGGCAGAGAAAGAUUCUCUCCUAGAGCCUUUGGAGGGAGCUUGGCCCUGUCAACAUCUUAAUUUUGGAUUUGUGGUCUCUAUAAUUGGAAACGAAUAAAUUUCUGUUGUUUUAAGCCA
Lemur catta (Ring-tailed lemur) is the source of this 3179-nucleotide long non-coding RNA. RefSeq lists it as uncharacterized. The record is from RefSeq and is a predicted model, not a curated record. The transcript has 2 exons. NCBI's taxonomy places the organism in Eukaryota, Metazoa, Chordata, Mammalia, Primates, Lemuridae.